AGAACGAACGCUGGCGGCAGGCUUAACACAUGCAAGUCGAACGGUUGUAGCAAUACAGCAGUGGCAGACGGGUGAGUAACACGUGGGAACCUUCCUAGGGGUACGGAACAACUCAGGGAAACUUGAGCUAAUACCGUAUACGUCCGUGAGGAGAAAGAUUUAUCGCCCCUAGACGGGCCCGCGUAGGAUUAGGUAGUUGGUGAGGUAACGGCUCACCAAGCCUACGAUCCUUAGCUGAUCUGAGAGGAUGAUCAGCCACACUGGGACUGAGACACGGCCCAGACUCCUACGGGAGCAGCAGUGGGGAAUCUUGGACAAGUGGGCGCAAGGCCUGAUCCAGCCAUGCCGCGUGAGUGAAGAAGGCCUUCGGGUGUAAGCUCUUUUACCAGGGACGAUAAGUGACGGUACUGGAGAUAAGCCCGACAACUUCGCGCCAGCACGCGC
RNAcentral lists this ribosomal RNA (444 nucleotides) under uncultured soil bacterium. Its description in RNAcentral is "bacterial SSU rRNA". It matches the Rfam family "Bacterial small subunit ribosomal RNA", at positions 26 to 518 of the family's 1533-position model. The record is from RNAcentral.